AACGAACGCUGGCGGCAGGCCUAACACAUGCAAGUCGAGCGAGGACUUCGGUUCUAGCGGCGGACGGGUGAGUAACGCGUGGGAAUGUGCCCUUCUCUACGGAAUAGCCCUGGGAAACUGGGAGUAAUACCGUAUACGCCCUAUUGGGGAAAGAUUUAUCGGAGAAGGAUCAGCCCGCGUUGGAUUAGGUAGUUGGUGGGGUAAUGGCCUACCAAGCUGACGAUCCAUAGCUGGUUUGAGAGGAUGAUCAGCCACACUGGGACUGAGACACGGCCCAGACUCCUACGGGAGGAAGCAGUGGGGAAUCUUGGACAAUGGGGGCAACCCUGAUCUAGUCAUGCCGCGUGAGUGAUGAAGGCCUUAGGGUUGUAAAGCUCUUUCAGCUGGGAAGAUAAUGACGGUACCAUCAGAAGAAGCCCCGGCUAACUCCGUG
This 433-nucleotide ribosomal RNA is filed under the name uncultured bacterium. Its description in RNAcentral is "partial 16S ribosomal RNA". It matches the Rfam family "Bacterial small subunit ribosomal RNA", at positions 29 to 507 of the family's 1533-position model. The record is from RNAcentral.